CAGUCGCCGCGGUAAUACGUAGGGUGCAAGCGUUAAUCGGAAUUACUGGGCGUAAAGCGUGCGCAGGCGGUUUGUUAAGACAGAUGUGAAAUCCCCGGGCUCAACCUGGGAACUGCAUUUGUGACUGGCAAGCUAGAGUAUGGCAGAGGGGGGUGGAAUUCCGCGUGUAGCAGUGAAAUGCGUAGAUAUGCGGAGGAACACCGAUGGCGAAGGCAGCCCCCUGGGCCAAUACUGACGCUCAUGCACGAAAGCGUGGGGAGCAAACAGGAUUAGAUACCCCUGUAGUCCCUGUCUCUUAUAC
Molecule: ribosomal RNA, 301 nt
Filed under: uncultured bacterium
Lineage: Bacteria
Description: partial 16S ribosomal RNA
Rfam family: Bacterial small subunit ribosomal RNA
Source: RNAcentral